CAAAAGUCAUACCUGGGCAGAUUCUUCUUCCAGCUCCAAAUGGGAUGUAGUUGAAGUUAGUUCCUUUAUAAUCAAUGGAGUUUUCACUGAACCUUUCUGGUAUAAAUUUCUCUGGAUCUUUCCAGUACGAAGGAUCUCUUCCUAUUGCCCAGGCGUUGACGAUGACUUUGGUUUUUUCAGGGAUUUCAUAGCCAUCUAUCUCGCAGCUUUCUUUGCUUUCUCUUGGAAGACACAAGGGUACUGGUGGGUGAAUCCUCAGAGCUUCUUUGAUCACCAACUU
This 280-nucleotide long non-coding RNA is filed under the name Manihot esculenta (cassava). RNAcentral describes it as "long non-coding RNA (MESC_LNC006683)". The record is from RNAcentral. Lineage: Eukaryota; Viridiplantae; Streptophyta; Magnoliopsida; Malpighiales; Euphorbiaceae.